UAAUACAUGCAAGUUGAGCGAUGAAGAUUGGUGCUUGCACCAAUUUGAAGAGCAGCGAACGGGUGAGUAACGCGUGGGGAAUCUGCCUUUGAGCGGGGGACAACAUUUGGAAACGAAUGCUAAUACCGCAUAAUAACUUUAAACAUAAGUUUUAAGUUUGAAAGAUGCAAUUGCAUCACUCAAAGAUGAUCCCGCGUUGUAUUAGCUAGUUGGUGAGGUAAAGGCUCACCAAGGCGAUGAUACAUAGCCGACCUGAGAGGGUGAUCGGCCACAUUGGGACUGAGACACGGCCCAAACUCCUACGGGAGGCAGCAGUAGGGAAUCUUCGGCAAUGGACGAAAGUCUGACCGAGCAACGCCGCGUGAGUGAAGAAGGUUUUCGGAUCGUAAAACUCUGUUGGUAGAGAAGAACGUUGGUGAGAGUGGAAAGCUCAUCAAGUGACGGUAACUACCCAGAAAGGGACGGCUAACUACGUGCCAGCAGCCGCGGUAAUACGUAGGUCCCGAGCGUUGUCCGGAUUUAUUGGGCGUAAAGCGAGCGCAGGUGGUUUAUUAAGUCUGGUGUAAAAGGCAGUGGCUCAACCAUUGUAUGCAUUGGAAACUGGUAGACUUGAGUGCAGGAGAGGAGAGUGGAAUUCCAUGUGUAGCGGUGAAAUGCGUAGAUAUAUGGAGGAACACCGGUGGCGAAAGCGGCUCUCUGGCCUGUAACUGACACUGAGGCUCGAAAGCGUGGGGAGCAAACAGGAUUAGAUACCCUUGGUAGUCCAAAGGGACAGUUUCAGGACGGCUAUACAC
Molecule: ribosomal RNA, 794 nt
Filed under: Lactococcus lactis
Lineage: Bacteria; Bacillati; Bacillota; Bacilli; Lactobacillales; Streptococcaceae
Description: bacterial SSU rRNA
Rfam family: Bacterial small subunit ribosomal RNA
Source: RNAcentral